Molecule: ribosomal RNA, 322 nt
Filed under: uncultured eukaryote
Lineage: Eukaryota
Description: partial 18S ribosomal RNA
Rfam family: Eukaryotic small subunit ribosomal RNA
Source: RNAcentral
CCCUUAGAUGUUCUGGGCCGCACGCGUGCUACACUGAGUGGAUCAGCGGGUCAGGUUGCGCGAAAGCGUUUCCUAAUCUUUAAAUCCGCUCGUGAUGGGGAUUGACGGUUGCAAUUUUCUGUCAUGAACGAGGAAUACCUUGUAAGCGCGGGUCAUCAUCCCGCGCUGAAUACGUCCCUGCCCUUUGUACACACCGCCCGUCGCUCCUACCGAUUGGGUGUGCUGGUGAAAUGUUCGGAUCGGCCGUUUGUCGCGGUUUCCGCGGCUCGUGGCUGAGAAGUUCAUUAAACCCGCCCACCUAGAGGAAGGAGAAGUCGUAACA